UGCAUUCUAUUGUGGGGCCAUGUCUCUAGCUCUAGUCUCUGCUCGGAGGUUCACCUGAUCACACUAUGACCCUGAAUAUUGCUCAGGUGAACCUCCGAGCUCUGCGUCUCUCUUUCUUCUGGCGAUUGUUGAUCGGAAGGCGAGCUGCUGUCUAACCCAAAAUCAGUGAAUCAGAAGAGCUCUUGCUCGCAUCAACCGACCAUAAAGGAAAAUGCAGUCUGCGAUAAGAGCGAUUUUCCCGGCAAACCCUAACUACGCUGCAACUUGCCAAUUCUUCUCCAAAAAUUUCUCUUCCAGGCUCUUCGUCAGAGGUACUACUAAACUCCCUCUUUGUUUCUCCUCUUUCCCGCAACUGGGUUUGUGUUUACUCAGCCGACUGAUACAUAAAUAUGGAUAAAGAUAUGAACUUUGUCCCCCAGCAAAACAGAGAAAAUGCAC
RNAcentral lists this long non-coding RNA (438 nucleotides) under Linum usitatissimum (flax). Its description in RNAcentral is "long non-coding RNA (LUSI_LNC002472)". Lineage: Eukaryota; Viridiplantae; Streptophyta; Magnoliopsida; Malpighiales; Linaceae. The record is from RNAcentral.